RNAcentral lists this long non-coding RNA (5279 nucleotides) under Sus scrofa (pig). RNAcentral's name for it is "lncRNA (ENSSSCG00015037199.1)". Lineage: Eukaryota; Metazoa; Chordata; Mammalia; Artiodactyla; Suidae. The record is from RNAcentral.
UACUAAAAAGCUAUUUCACAUUAACAUUUUUUUCACUUUCGCGUUCAUUUUAUGUAUCAGACACUGUAUUUGGCGUUGGAAAUAGAAGGCUGAAUGACCUUAAUAUAACCAAGGAUUAUUUUUCAAAAUAGCAAGUACCCAAACUGGUAUAUACUCUAGGAAGAGCUUGUUUUCUCAUCUGAUAACAUUUCUUAAUCACAUGAAUUUUAAUUCAUUUUAAUUGAAAAUAUAUCUUGAGUGUUUAAGAUAGAGUAAAAAUUUGAAAAAAAACUAAUAAUAGGGUGAUUGGCCUUUUAAGUCUGAAUCACAGUCUUAAAUCUUUGUUUAGGUUGCUGGUUUUCACAGACUAUUUUAUAAUAAACUUGUUUUAUGAAAUGAAAAAAAGUAAGUAAAUAGAGUUCCGUAAACAUUAUGUGUUAUAUGUUUUAUAAAUGAACCAGUUUGGAAAUAUUUCACCCAAGAUUAAGCCAUUUCGCAUUAAUACUUUUCAAAUGGAGCUGACGAUAUUUAGGAGGAAAAAAGUGUAAAGAUAAAAGAGGAUGAAAGGCACAUGGAAGCCUUUGCAGCAGAAUACCUGUGGGGUUCAGACCAAAGUGUCACGGAACGGGUCUCCCGGCCACCUUUCUACUGGAGUUAAGGUCACUCCCUAAGAAGAGCAAAAAAGGUGUGUCCCUUUGACGGUGAGUCAGUAAUGUUGUCUUCAAAGAAAUGUGUGUGUUCCUUCCCUAAUUGCAAGUGUAAACUGACACUAACACUCGUAAAUAAUAAGGAAAACCAUCGGGGAGACUUUAUAUAUGUCCUAUUUCUGUUCACCUCCACUGUGUAGUGUGUACUCUUUAGACGAACUGGUUGCGGAAAUAAAUACUGAACAGUGGUGUUUUUCAGCUCUUAUUCACAUCCACAAGUGGAGAAUACACUUUGAAUGCACUUUCCUGUUUAUUUUUCUACUCUCCUAGAAGUGCUUCAUAAAAGAAGGCUUUUGAUUAAAAAAAGCGUAACACUUGGCUAUUCCCCGCAAAUUGUCUAAGUGAUGGUUACGGCACCACUCUUUCCUUUUAAGUCUCACUUAUUUAGAAAAGGAUCAGUCAACUCCUUAGCUAGAUGCACACUAAAUUGCUGCUGAGCCAUGGGUAUAUUUGGAACAAGACACACUGAAGAUGGAAGUAGGCCACUAAUGCAAAGAUGUAAUUAAUCCAUUCGUGCCCUGGGUUGUAGACUUUAUGAAUACUAUGUCUCUUACAUAUAUGUACUAUUAUUAGAAAUAUUUAUUUAUUUAUUUUCUCUUUUAAUUUUAUAAUGAUUUUUAUUUUUUCCAUUAUAGCUGGUUUACAGUGUUCUGUCAAUUUUCUACCAGACAGCAACGUGACCCAGUCACACAUACAUGUAUACAUUCUUUUUUUCUCACAUUGUCAUGCUCCAUCAUAAGUGACUAGAUAUAGCGCUCAGUGCUAUACAGCGGGAUCUCAUUGCUUAUCCAUUCUGAAGGCAAUAGUUUGCAUCUAUUAACCCCAAAUCCCCAAUCCAUUCCCCUCCCCCCUCCCCUUCCCCCUUGGCAACCACAAGUCUAUUCUCCAAGUCCAUGAUUUUCUUUUCUGUGGAAAGGUUCAUUGGUGCCAUAUAUUAUAUUACAGAUAUAAGUGAUAUCAUGUGGCAUUUGUCUUUUCCCUUUUUCUUCUUAUUAAUUUUUAUUUAUUUUUAUCAAUGAAACAUUUAAUUAAAAGCAUUACUGAAUUCAUAAUUGCUCUUGUCCAACAUGUAUUUUUUCUUUUUUUUGGCCAUGCUCUGGACAUGCAGAAGUUCCCAGAACAGGGAUGGAACCCAUGUCACAGCAGUGACCUGAACCACAGCAGCAAUCAGGCCAGAUCCUCAACUGCUGAACCACCAGGGAACUUCAACAUGUAUUUUUUUCAUCAGUUGAUACUAAAAGUACAACUACUACUUUAAAAAAUAUGUUGCAUAUUUUUUAAAAGUAUGGAAAAGAAGUGUUCAGAUAUAGAAAGGUAAAAAGCAAUUGCUGUCAUUUGCCAGUUUUAGUUAGGAUUAGAGCAAAUUUAUCAUUUAGUGGCAUUGCUGUGAAUAAUACAUCACUGACAAAUUAUGAAGACAGAAUUAGACCAUUGUUAAUACCCAGGUCCUCCUGGAGAGCUACCAAUAAAUAUCACUGGACAUUGCUGUAACGUCGUUUCUUCAUUUAUUACUGAUGUCAUAAUUGAUGCUUACCUGAAUUUCACAUAUUCCCCAUAUGUUUACAAACUUUAAGAUGCUACUUUUAUUUUUCUUCAGCUAUAAUGCUCUUGACAUAUUUUCACUCUUCAUUUUUGACAUAUUACUAUCUACUUAAACAUCAGUCUUAAAUAAUGAAUUUUUUUUUUUUUUUGUCUUUUUAGGGCUGCACCCGUGUCACGUGGAUAUUCUAAGGCUAGGGGUCAAAUUGGAGCUAUACCUGCCAGCCCACACCACAGCCCCAGCGAUUCAGGAUCCAAGCUGCAUCUGUGACCUACACCACAGCUCACAGCAACACUGGAUCCUUAACCCACUGAGCAAGGCCAGGGAUCGAACUUGAGUCCUCAUGGAUACUAGUUGGGUUUGUUAUCGCUGAGUAUUACAUUUGAAUUUGUGUUUUUUGCUUCUUUGGGGUUUUUGGUUUGUUCAUUUGUUUUGCUUUUUAGGCCCACACCCUUGGCAUAUGGAAGUUCCCAGGCUAGGGUUUGAAUCAGAGCUACAGCUGCUGGCCUACACCACAGCCACAGCAAUGCCAGAUCCAAGCCUCGAUUAUGACCUACACCACAGCUCACGGCAAUGCCGGAUCCCUGACCCACUGAGCGAGGCCAGGGAUUGAACCCAAGUCCUCAUGAAUGCUAGUCGGAUUCAUUUCCCAUGCACCAUGACAGGAACUCCCUGCAUUUGCUAAAAACAGAAAUCCACUUGUAAUAUUACCUUAAAAAUCAAAUUAAUUGAAAGUGGGCCUUAAAGGGCAAUUGUCCUUUGACACACAUGAGAUUUAUUGAUUACUAUAUUUUAAAAGUAAGCUUAUUAUAGUAUAUUAGCGAUAAUGUGUAGAUAUUUUCAGCCUUUAGAUGGAUGUAUUCUUAUACUUAUUACAUAUCAAGUAAUUUGAUGUUUACUAAUGACACUGAAUUGUUAUGUACUUUUUAUUGGCUGGUGACUAUUUUUCCACAUUAUUACAAUACCUAUGACAGUGAAGCGCCCCCAAAAUAUUUUUAAGCAAAUGAUUAACUCUUUAUUUUCAACCAUCAAAUAAUUGUCUAUUAAAUAUUCUUUUACAUUAAAAAUCUACCUCCUCCUUUAAAAUUUGGUUUCCCAAAGUAGAAAGCUUUUAGUUAUCAAUGUUUAGGAAAAAUCCAGCUUUAGGCUAUUGAUAGGGUUUGUACAACCCAGUCAUUUAAAAAAAUUAUAUUUAGUGAGAAAAAGUGCUAAUACACAUAAACUUUGAUGAUACCGAAUCUCCUUACCUACAGUUGGGAAUAUAUAAGGUGAAAUCUCCGAGGUUUACUGUGAGAAUUGCAAAUGUCUAGUUGUUUUUGGAAAUGUGCACUUUCUUUCAUCUGUAAGACCUACAUAUAAUAGCAGGGUCCAGAGAGACUAAAGCCAGGCUGCCCAGAUUUGAAUCCCAUUUCCUAGUUUUAAUCUUGGUUAAGUCACUUACCCAUUGUGUAUCUUUGUUGCUUACCUAUAAAAUGAAAAUGAUAAUAGAUCAGUCUCCCUGAGGUCUUGUGUAAAAUUAGCAUGAUUUAAAAUAAAUCUGUAGAUUUUGGAUAUCAAAUAGCUAGUAAACACACCCCUAUCACAUCAGUAUUUUGUGUUUCUUAUUUUAUAAAUGAUCUCAGUAGAAAGAAUUUUAUUAUUAGGCUGUUUUAUUUGAGACAGUUUCAGAAUAUGCCUUUAUAAGAUUGAUUCUCUGAAGUCAUACAGUUAAGCCUUUUAAGCAAAAGGGCACUUGGCUAUUGUACACAGUGUUGGAAAAAACCAGAUUAUUUUAUAAUUAGUUCAGAAAAACCAACAGCAUUUCUCAGAAAUGAAAAGGCAGAGACUGCACUCCCAGGUAUUACAUAGCAGCUGACAUUUAUAUUUUAUUCUGUUCAAACACACACACACACACACACACACACACACACACACACACACACCAGUUAUAAAGAUAAGUACUCAAUUGUGUCUAAUGUUAAAGGGCAAUAUUUCAUCUGUUUCUAAGGACAAUACAAAGCUAAGCAGUAUAGACUAUUCUAAAGAUAACAUAUAAGGUUUCUGUUAUGACUCAUCUUUGUUAAAUUUAUGAGGUAGGCAAAAUCCUCUCUAGAGUCUCUCACCUGCCCUGUCUUUACUCCCUACCAUCUGCUAGGAACUCCAUCUCCUUUAUAUGAGCAGCUAAACAAUAACUAUUGGAUGAACGGAAGCGUUAACAAUAAAACAUCCCAUUCUCAGAGGGUUUUCCCUGUUGAGUUGGUAUGGAUGAAGGCACUUGAGAAAUUUUAGGGAGCAUUCACAGAGAAGUAAUUCAUAAAAAUGAUAAAAUGCCAAUAACAAAGUUUUAAGAAGAGAAAAUUAUUCAGUUGGGAUAACUUACUGGUGUCCCUCAAUUAGUAUCAAUCAGUUGAAAUUCAAGAACCUCUUAUGGAGAAGAGUUCUGCUCCAUUCUCAUCCAAGGUCAAUGCUGGGCAAGUCUGUAGUGAAACGCCUAUCCAUUUUUUGUUUGCACCAUAUACUGGCCUGAGUCUGCUGGAUAAAUAUUGGUCACCUACUUCCCUAAGUAUUAAAUGGGAGAUGGGAUGCUGUCUUCCAUGAUGAUUACAUUUCAAAGGGAUGGCUCUCAGGUACUUGAGAAAGACAGUCCUGGGAUGUAAAACUGGCAAGAGGCUUUUUAAAAGAUUUAUAUGUAAAAGAUCUAUAUCAGGGGAAGCUCCUGCUGUGGCACAGCAGGUUGAGGAUCCUGCAUUUUUCUCUGCAGCUGGGGUUGCUGCUAAGGUGAUGGUUGGAUCCCCAGCCUGGUGCAUGAGUUAAAAGGAUCUGAUAUUGGAGUUCCCUUCAUGGCUCAGCAGUUAAUGAAUCUGACUAGAAUCCAUGAGGAUGCGAGUUCGAUCCCUCGCCUCACUUAGUAGGUUAAGGAUCUGGCAUUGCGGUGAGAUAUGGUAUAGUUCACAGAUGCGGCUCGGAUCCUGAGCUGUUGUGGCUAUGGCUGUGGCUAGCAGCUACAACUCCGAUUUGACCCCUAGCCUGGGAACCUCCACAUGGGUUUGGCCCUAAAAAGAAAAAAAAAAAAA